Molecule: ribosomal RNA, 655 nt
Filed under: uncultured Bacteroidales bacterium
Lineage: Bacteria; Pseudomonadati; Bacteroidota; Bacteroidia; Bacteroidales
Description: bacterial SSU rRNA
Rfam family: Bacterial small subunit ribosomal RNA
Source: RNAcentral
UUUGCUUGCAAACUAAAGAUGGCGACCGGCGCACGGGUGAGUAACACGUAUCCAACCUGCCGAUAACUCGGGGAUAGCCUUUCGAAAGAAAGAUUAAUAUCCGAUGGUAUAUUAAAACCGCAUGGUUUUACUAUUAAAGAAUUUCGGUUAUCGAUGGGGAUGCGUUCCAUUAGUUUGUUGGCGGGGUAACGGCCCACCAAGACUACGAUGGAUAGGGGUUCUGAGAGGAAGGUCCCCCACAUUGGAACUGAGACACGGUCCAAACUCCUACGGGAGGCAGCAGUGAGGAAUAUUGGUCAAUGGACGAGAGUCUGAACCAGCCAAGUAGCGUGAAGGAUGACUGCCCUAUGGGUUGUAAACUUCUUUUAUAUGGGAAUAAAGUAUUCCACGUGUGGAAUUUUGUAUGUACCAUAUGAAUAAGGAUCGGCUAACUCCGUGCCAGCAGCCGCGGUAAUACGGAGGAUCCGAGCGUUAUCCGGAUUUAUUGGGUUUAAAGGGAGCGUAGGUGGAUUGUUAAGUCAGUUGUGAAAGUUUGCGGCUCAACCGUAAAAUUGCAGUUGAAACUGGCAGUCUUGAGUACAGUAGAGGUGGGCGGAAUUCGUGGUGUAGCGGUGAAAUGCUUAGAUAUCACGAAGAACUCCGAUUGCGAAGGCAG